UCCCUGGUGGUCCAGUGGCUAAGACUCCAUGCUCCCAAUGCAGGGGGCCCGGGUUCGAUCCCUGGUUAGGGAA
RNAcentral lists this transfer RNA (73 nucleotides) under Bos taurus (domestic cattle). It matches the Rfam family "tRNA". Rfam says of the family: Transfer RNA (tRNA) molecules are approximately 80 nucleotides in length. Their secondary structure includes four short double-helical elements and three loops (D, anti-codon, and T loops). Further hydrogen bonds mediate the characteristic L-shaped molecular structure. tRNAs have two regions of fundamental functional importance: the anti-codon, which is responsible for specific mRNA codon recognition, and the 3' end, to which the tRNAs corresponding amino acid is attached (by aminoacyl-tRNA synthetases). tRNAs cope with the degeneracy of the genetic code in two manners: having more than one tRNA (with a specific anti-codon) for a particular amino acid; and 'wobble' base-pairing, i.e. permitting non-standard base-pairing at the 3rd anti-codon position. Lineage: Eukaryota; Metazoa; Chordata; Mammalia; Artiodactyla; Bovidae. The record is from Rfam by way of RNAcentral. RNAcentral also lists the same sequence under 1 other name.